RNAcentral lists this ribosomal RNA (1181 nucleotides) under uncultured Sebacina. RNAcentral's name for it is "eukaryotic LSU rRNA". The stretch from base 505 to 1181 matches the Rfam family "Eukaryotic large subunit ribosomal RNA", at positions 1 to 656 of the family's 3401-position model. The record is from RNAcentral. Lineage: Eukaryota; Fungi; Basidiomycota; Agaricomycetes; Sebacinales; Sebacinaceae.
UUCACAUGUGCACACCUYUGGUCGCAAAUCCACACACACCUGUGCAUCUAYGACUCGAGGUUGUAAUGACUGAGAGUAACUUUUACACACUCUUGUAUGUAAUGGAAUGUCUUUUUGUGCUAUAAUGUACAAUAUAAACAACUUUCAACAACGGAUCUCUUGGCUCUCGCAUCGAUGAAGAACGCAGCGAAAUGCGAUAAGUAAUGUGAAUUGCAGAAUUCAGUGAAUCAUCGAAUCUUUGAACGCACCUUGCACCCUUUGGUAUUCCGAAGGGUACGCCCGUUUGAGUGUCAUUGUAAUCUCACUUCUACAACUUUAUUGUUGUUUGAAUGUGGACUUGGAUGUUGCCGUUUUAUCACGGCUCGUCUUAAAUGCCUGAGUGUACCCUGUUUUGCAGCGUAUCCAGUGUAAUAAACAUUUCACUAGAGUUGGUCGAAAGACCGCGUUGMCUAUAUGGGCUCUAUGCUUCAAACCGUCURCCAUGUGGACAAUUUCUUGACAAUUUGACCUCAAAUCGGGUGGGACUACCCGCUGAACUUAAGCAUAUCAAUAAGCGGAGGAAAAGAAACUAACAAGGAUUCCCCUAGUAACGGCGAGUGAAGAGGGAAAAGCUCAAAUUUUAAAUCUGGUGUCUUUGACUCCCGAGUUGUAAUCUAGAGAAGUGUUUUCCGUGUCGGACCGUGUACAAGUUCCCUGGAACGGGGCGUCAUAGAGGGUGAGAAUCCCGUAUAUGCCACGGACUACCGAUGCUCUGUGAUACACUCUCAACGAGUCGAGUUGUUUGGGAAUGCAGCUCAAAAUGGGUGGUAAAUUCCAUCUAAAGCUAAAUAUUGGCGAGAGACCGAUAGCGAACAAGUACCGUGAGGGAAAGAUGAAAAGCACUUUGGAAAGAGAGUGAAACAGUACGUGAAAUUGUUGAAAGGGAAGCGUUUGAAGUCAGUCGCAUCUGUUGGGGUUCAGCCUGGCUUUUGCCUGGUGUAUUUCCUUUCCGAUGGGUCAGCAUCAGUUUCGACCGAGGGAAAAAGACAUUUGGAAUGUGGCUGUCUUCGGGCAGUGUUAUAGCCUUGUGUUGUAUGUCUCGGUUGGGACUGAGGAUUGCAGCGCGCCAUAAAUGGCCGGGGGUCGCUCCUCUCGACACGCGCUUAGGAUGCUGGCAUAAUGGCUUUAAGCGACCCGUCUUG